RNAcentral lists this ribosomal RNA (253 nucleotides) under uncultured bacterium. RNAcentral describes it as "partial 16S ribosomal RNA". It matches the Rfam family "Bacterial small subunit ribosomal RNA", at positions 524 to 776 of the family's 1533-position model. The record is from RNAcentral.
UACGUAGGGUGCGAGCGUUAAUCGGAAUUACUGGGCGUAAAGCGUGCGCAGGCGGUUCUCCAAGUCCGUUGUGAAAGCCCCGGGCUCAACCUGGGAAUGGCAGUGGAAACUAGGGGACUGGAAUCUGGCAGAGGGGGGUGGAAUGCCGCGUGUAGCAGUGAAAUGCGUAGAGAUGCGGCGGAACACCGACGGCGAAGGCAGCCCCCUGGGCUGAGAUUGACGCUCAGGCACGAAAGCGUGGGGAGCAAACGGG